AACGAACGCUGGCGGCAGGCCUAACACAUGCAAGUCGAGCGAGAUCUUCGGGUCUAGCGGCGGACGGGUGAGUAACGCGUGGGAAUAUGCCUCUUGGUACGGAAUAGCCUCGGGAAACUGGGAGUAAUACCGUAUGUGCCCUUUGGGGGAAAGAUUUAUCGCCAAGGGAUUAGCCCGCGUUGGAUUAGGUAGUUGGUGGGGUAAUGGCCUACCAAGCCGACGAUCCAUAGCUGGUUUGUGAGGAUGAUCAGCCACACUGGGACUGAGACACGGCCCAGACUCCGACGGGAGGCAGCAGUAGGGAAUCUUAGACAAUGGGGGCAACCCUGGUCUAGCCAUGCCGCGUGAGUGAUGAAGGCCUUAGGGUUGUAAAGCUCUUUCAGCUGGGAAGAUAAUGACGGUACCAGCAGAAGAAGCCCCGGCUAACUCCGUG
Molecule: ribosomal RNA, 433 nt
Filed under: uncultured bacterium
Lineage: Bacteria
Description: partial 16S ribosomal RNA
Rfam family: Bacterial small subunit ribosomal RNA
Source: RNAcentral